Pontibacillus yanchengensis Y32 is the source of this 67-nucleotide small RNA. It matches the Rfam family "Bacillaceae-1 RNA". Lineage: Bacteria; Bacillati; Bacillota; Bacilli; Caryophanales; Bacillaceae. The record is from Rfam.
CUUAGAGGAAGUUCGAUUAAAAUCGCUACGUCGCGUAGCAACAUCGAACCAACCCACGUCGUGUGGG